Molecule: microRNA, 22 nt
Filed under: Glycine max (soybean)
Lineage: Eukaryota; Viridiplantae; Streptophyta; Magnoliopsida; Fabales; Fabaceae
Description: gma-miR1512b
Source: miRBase by way of RNAcentral
UAACUGGAAAUUCUUAAAGCAU